UACGAAGGGUGCAAACGUUGCUCGGAAUUAUUGGGCGUAAAGCGCACGUAGGCGGCUUAGCAAGUCGGAUGUGAAAUCCCUCGGCUCAACCAAGGAAGUGCAUUCGAAACUGACAGUCUUGAGUAUGGAAGAGGGUCGCGGAAUUCCCGGUGUAGAGGUGAAAUUCGUAGAUAUCGGGAGGAACACCAGUGGCGAAGGCGGCGACCUGGGCCAAUACUGACGCUGAGGUGCGAAAGCGUGGGGAGCAAACAGG
This 253-nucleotide ribosomal RNA is filed under the name uncultured bacterium. Its description in RNAcentral is "partial 16S ribosomal RNA". It matches the Rfam family "Bacterial small subunit ribosomal RNA", at positions 524 to 776 of the family's 1533-position model. The record is from RNAcentral.